Piliocolobus tephrosceles (Ugandan red Colobus) is the source of this 622-nucleotide long non-coding RNA. RefSeq lists it as uncharacterized. The transcript is spliced from 3 exons. NCBI's taxonomy places the organism in Eukaryota, Metazoa, Chordata, Mammalia, Primates, Cercopithecidae. The record is from RefSeq and is a predicted model, not a curated record.
CUCCCCAGCAACCACCACCACCAAGCCUGGGCCCCAACGGAACCAUUUCCACCACCUUUACCUGCACCCCUUUGGCUGAAGCUGCUCCAUCCUGAUCGUAGUUCAUGUCACUAUGAACAAUAAGGUCUGCCCAUUUGUAAUCACAGUGAAAGUGAAACAGGAAGACCAUCAUGGAGUGCUAGAGGGACAAGCACAUCUCAAUCCAUCAGCUGUUUACUGAGGAAGUCAGACAUCUCUGCGGCUUCUUAGGCCAUGGCCAAGGACAUGAAGAUACAGAUAUCCAGGAAGAGAGUCACACACGAAGGCAGGGAUGUAGACUUGGGGCCCAGAGGUGAAUAAGACACCCUCAAUUGCCUGACAUCAGAGAUGGCAAAACUGAGGCCCAGAGAUGAGAGCUCACCCACCCACUCCCAGGAAGCAGCAGAGCGAAUACUGGAACCCAAGUAUGUCUUUCUAUUGUGCUGCUGGACUGCAGAGCAAAAAGAGGGAUUUUCUCCUUCUAUGCACCCAGCAGCCCUUGUUGGAGGUGCAGGGAUGGAUUCCAGGGCAGAGCGAGGGGGCAGGGAGUGUCAUCUGUGUGGUGCCAUAACAUUCCUGUGAAAUAAAAAAAAUCUUUGCUACC